This is a long non-coding RNA of Vicia villosa (hairy vetch), 1291 nucleotides long. RefSeq lists it as uncharacterized. Lineage: Eukaryota; Viridiplantae; Streptophyta; Magnoliopsida; Fabales; Fabaceae. The record is from RefSeq and is a predicted model, not a curated record. The transcript has 7 exons.
CUAAUUUAACCUUGAGCCACAAAUACUUUACCCUUGCAAAAGGUUACUUCAGUAAUUAACAAAUUGAAUUUUUUCACUUGCCAUGUGUUGUUUGCUGAUUCGUCCAUAGAAUAAAUUUGUACUUGCUUUCACUUUUCCCUAUCUCUUUUCUUUUCCUCUUUCUCUUUCCCUCCAUCUUCUCUUUCCUCUUUCUUUUCGUCUUCUGUCUUCUCUGUUUUCUCCACAAACCCUAGCGCAGCCACAAACCCUAGCGAUGCCGUCGACCACUCCAAUCUCAGAAUCUCAUGGUCUUUGUCAUUUGGUUUCUAUCAACUUGGUAGCGACCACCGUUUCUCCAUCUCCGGCCGAUUCGGUUUCAGAGGAUGCUUCAUCUAACCCAUUUUCGUAAUUCUCAUCUCAACCCAUUUUCGUAAACCAUUUUUUAUAGAUUGAAAUGCAAAGACUCUCAAACAGGAAGAAAACUGUGGAAAAAAAGCUGUUGAGGGUCCUAACAUUGGAAGCCCACAAUAUUGAAGAUUUUCUAGAAAAUUUUAAAAAUAAUCCUACUGUCCAAAUUCCUCUGUCCAAAUUCCUCUGGUUUACAAACAACUUUCUGUGCCAUGUGUAUUAGUGAGGGAAUGGAUUGAUGGUAUUAGAUGCACCAAUCCUCAGCAAUUAAAGAAUGUGAUAUUGAUCUAGAUGGAUGAGCUCUUGAAGUUGUAGGCAUUGGCUACACUUGGGAUGAAUUGCUCUGGACUGCUGCAUGGUUGUAUCAAACAUCUAACAAUCAAUAUUACUUGGAUUAGCUCGGUAGAAAUGGUGACUCCAUGGGUGGAACCGGUUGGCAAAUGACUGAAUUUAGUUGGGAUGUAAAGUAUCCUGGUGUUCAGACUUUGGUUUCCAAGUUCCUAUUGCAAGGAAAAGCUGGCAUUCAUACAUCGGUGUUUGAAAGAUAACUGGAAAAGUCGGAGUACUUCAUGUUCAUGCAUGGGAAGGGGUACUCACAAUGUUAAGAGGACACCCGGUGGCCUUAUAUACUGCCAGAGAUGGAACGAUUUACAGUUCACCACAAGUUCCUCCUUUUUAACUAAGUCUAUUCUGACUGCCUCGCUUCUUCUGCUAGGGACUUGAAAUGUGCUUCUAGCUAUGUCGCUCCUUCAUUGCUGCAACUUCACUCCCUCUCUAAUUUAUAGCUUUUCUGUUUUAUAUCUUUUUAUUGUUACUGCCUUUGUUGAUUUUGUUUGAAGGGAGUAAAUGUGAAAUGAACAGAAGGAGUUUAGCAGUUAAAGGAAUUGUCGCAAUUGGAUUUUCA